GGGUUGUGAGGUUAAGCGACUAAGCGUACACGGUGGAUGCCCUGGCAGUCAGAGGCGAUGAAGGGCGUGCUAAUCUGCGAUAAGCGCCGGUAAGGUGAUAUGAACCGUUAUAACCGGCGAUACCCGAAUGGGGAAACCCAGUGUGAUUCGUCACACUAUCAUUAACUGAAUCCAUAGGUUAAUGAGGCGAACCGGGGGAACUGAAACAUCUAAGUACCCCGAGGAAAAGAAAUCAACCGAGAUUCCCCCAGUAGCGGCGAGCGAACGGGGAGGAGCCCAGAGCCUGAAUCAGCAUGUGUGUUAGUGGAAGCGUCUGGAAAGGCGCGCGAUACAGGGUGACAGCCCCGUACACAAAAGCGCAUGUGCUGUGAGCUCGAUGAGUAGGGCGGGACACGUGGUAUCCUGUCUGAAUAUGGGGGGACCAUCCUCCAAGGCUAAAUACUCCUGACUGACCGAUAGUGAACCAGUACCGUGAGGGAAAGGCGAAAAGAACCCCGGCGAGGGGAGUGAAAAAGAACCUGAAACCGUGUACGUACAAGCAGUGGGAGCACAGGUUUACCUGUGUGACUGCGUACCUUUUGUAUAAUGGGUCAGCGACUUAUAUUCUGUAGCAAGGUUAACCGAAUAGGGGAGCCGGAGGGAAACCGAGUCUUAAUUGGGCGUUAAGUUGCAGGGUAUAGACCCGAAACCCGGUGAUCUAGCCAUGGGCAGGUUGAAGGUUGGGUAACACUAACUGGAGGACCGAACCGACUAAUGUUGAAAAAUUAGCGGAUGACCUGUGGCUGGGGGUGAAAGGCCAAUCAAACCGGGAGAUAGCUGGUUCUCCCCGAAAGCUAUUUAGGUAGCGCCUCGUGAAUUCAUCUCCGGGGGUAGAGCACUGUUUCGGCUAGGGGGCCAUCCCGGCUUACCAACCCGAUGCAAACUGCGAAUACCGGAGAAUGUUAUCACGGGAGACACACGGCGGGUGCUAACGUCCGUCGUGAAGAGGGAAACAACCCAGACCGCCAGCUAAGGUCCCAAAGUCAUGGUUAAGUGGGAAACGAUGUGGGAAGGCCCAGACAGCCAGGAUGUUGGCUUAGAAGCAGCCAUCAUUUAAAGAAAGCGUAAUAGCUCACUGGUCGAGUCGGCCUGCGCGGAAGAUGUAACGGGGCUAAACCAUGCACCGAAGCUGCGGCAGCGANNGUUGGGUAGGGGAGCGUUCUGUAAGCCUGUGAAGGUGUGUCGUGAGGCAUGCUGGAGGUAUCAGAAGUGCGAAUGCUGACAUAAGUAACGAUAAAGCGGGUGAAAAGCCCGCUCGCCGGAAGACCAAGGGUUCCUGUCCAACGUUAAUCGGGGCAGGGUGAGUCGACCCCUAAGGCGAGGCCGAAAGGCGUAGUCGAUGGGAAACGGGUUAAUAUUCCCGUACUUGGUGUUACUGCGAAGGGGGGACGGAGAAGGCUAUGUUGGCCGGGCGACGGUUGUCCCGGUUUAAGCGUGUAGGUGUGUGUUCCAGGUAAAUCCGGUUCACUUUAACACUGAGGCGUGAUGACGAGGCACUACGGUGCUGAAGUAACAAAUGCCCUGCUUCCAGGAAAAGCCUCUAAGCAUCAGGUAACAUCAAAUCGUACCCCAAACCGACACAGGUGGUCAGGUAGAGAAUACCAAGGCGCUUGAGAGAACUCGGGUGAAGGAACUAGGCAAAAUGGUGCCGUAACUUCGGGAGAAGGCACGCUGACACGUAGGUGAAGUGAUUUACUCAUGGAGCUGAAGUCAGUCGAAGAUACCAGCUGGCUGCAACUGUUUAUUAAAAACACAGCACUGUGCAAACACGAAAGUGGACGUAUACGGUGUGACGCCUGCCCGGUGCCGGAAGGUUAAUUGAUGGGGUCAGCGCAAGCGAAGCUCCUGAUCGAAGCCCCGGUAAACGGCGGCCGUAACUAUAACGGUCCUAAGGUAGCGAAAUUCCUUGUCGGGUAAGUUCCGACCUGCACGAAUGGCGUAAUGAUGGCCAGGCUGUCUCCACCCGAGACUCAGUGAAAUUGAACUCGCUGUGAAGAUGCAGUGUACCCGCGGCAAGACGGAAAGACCCCGUGAACCUUUACUAUAGCUUGACACUGAACAUUGAGCCUUGAUGUGUAGGAUAGGUGGGAGGCUUUGAAGUGUGGACGCCAGUCUGCAUGGAGCCGACCUUGAAAUACCACCCUUUAAUGUUUGAUGUUCUAACGUGGACCCGUUACCCGGGUUGCGGACAGUGUCUGGUGGGUAGUUUGACUGGGGCGGUCUCCUCCUAAAGAGUAACGGAGGAGCACGAAGGUUGGCUAAUCCUGGUCGGACAUCAGGAGGUUAGUGCAAUGGCAUAAGCCAGCUUGACUGCGAGCGUGACGGCGCGAGCAGGUGCGAAAGCAGGUCAUAGUGAUCCGGUGGUUCUGAAUGGAAGGGCCAUCGCUCAACGGAUAAAAGGUACUCCGGGGAUAACAGGCUGAUACCGCCCAAGAGUUCAUAUCGACGGCGGUGUUUGGCACCUCGAUGUCGGCUCAUCACAUCCUGGGGCUGAAGUAGGUCCCAAGGGUAUGGCUGUUCGCCAUUUAAAGUGGUACGCGAGCUGGGUUUAGAACGUCGUGAGACAGUUCGGUCCCUAUCUGCCGUGGGCGCUGGAGAACUGAGGGGGGCUGCUCCUAGUACGAGAGGACCGGAGUGGACGCAUCACUGGUGUUCGGGUUGUCAUGCCAAUGGCACUGCCCGGUAGCUAAAUGCGGAAGAGAUAAGUGCUGAAAGCAUCUAAGCACGAAACUUGCCCCGAGAUGAGUUCUCCCUGAGACUUAAAGUCUCCUGAAGGAACGUUGAAGACGACGACGUUGAUAGGCCGGGUGUGUAAGCGCAGCGAUGCGUUGAGCUAACCGGUACUAAUGAACCGUGAGGCUUAACCUUACAACGCCGAAG
RNAcentral lists this ribosomal RNA (2919 nucleotides) under Salmonella enterica subsp. enterica serovar Dublin. RNAcentral describes it as "bacterial LSU rRNA". It matches the Rfam family "Bacterial large subunit ribosomal RNA". Lineage: Bacteria; Pseudomonadati; Pseudomonadota; Gammaproteobacteria; Enterobacterales; Enterobacteriaceae. The record is from RNAcentral.